AUGGCGAUCGACCACGACUCCCCCUGCAAGGAGCUCCUCCCCAAGGACCGCCGCAGCAUGGAUGAUGACGGCCCUGAGCCGGAGGAGGAGGUUGAGGAGGACGAGAAGUCUGCGGAGGUGGAGGAGGAGGAGGUCGAGGAGUCUGCGGAGGCGGAGGAGCAGGAGCAGGUGGUGUCCGCGGACGGCGAGCGGUGGCCCCGGUGGCUGCGCCCCAUGAUGUCGGCGCGGUUCUACACGCCGUGCAAGACGCACCCUGACUCGCGCCGCGGCGGCGUGCGCGCCAUGUUCUGCCUCGACUGCGCCGACGUCGCCGGCGCGCUCUGCUCGCUGUGCGCCGACCAGGGCCACCGCGGCCACCACGUCAUCCGGGUCCGCCGCUCCACCUACAGCAGCGUGCUCAUCGUGGCGGACGUGCGGGGGCUCCUGGACGUGGACGGCGUGCAGACCUACGUCAUCAACGGCGCGCGCGUCGUCUUCCUCAGGGAGCGCGGCCCGCAGCAGAGGCACGCCCGCAGCGCCUGGAGCUUCGUCAACCAGUGCGGCUGCGGCCGCGGCCUGCUCGAGGCCUUCCGCUUCUGCUCGCUCAGCUGCAAGUUCCCCGGCUGCCGCCACGACGGCAACGCCUCCUCCUCGCCUCCCUCCCCGCCGCGCAAUGCCGCCGACCAGGCCUCGACGCCACCACCGCCGCCGCAGCCUGCACACCGGCGCAAGGGCAUCCCGCACCGGGCACCGUUCGGCAACCUCGCCGUCUGA
Molecule: ribosomal RNA, 753 nt
Filed under: Triticum aestivum (bread wheat)
Lineage: Eukaryota; Viridiplantae; Streptophyta; Magnoliopsida; Poales; Poaceae
Description: partial small subunit ribosomal RNA
Source: RNAcentral